GCCGGGCACGGUGGCGCGCGCCUGUAGUCCCAGCUACUCGGGAGGCUGAGGCUGGAGGAUCGCUUGAGCUCAGGAGUUCUGGGCUGCAGUGCGCUAUGCCGAUCGGGUCUCCGCACUAAGUUCGGCAUCAAUAUGGUGACCUCCCGGGAGCGGGGGACCACCAGGUUGCCUAAGGAGGGGUGAACCGGCCCAGGUCGGAAACGGAGCAGGUCAAAACUCCCGUGCUGAUCAGUAGUGGGAUCGCGCCUGUGAAUAGCCACUGUACUCCAGCCUGGGCAACAUAGCAAGACCCCGUCUCUU
This 300-nucleotide signal recognition particle RNA is filed under the name Cervus hanglu yarkandensis (Yarkand deer). RNAcentral's name for it is "Metazoan signal recognition particle RNA (ENSCHYG00000011856.1)". It matches the Rfam family "Metazoan signal recognition particle RNA". Rfam says of the family: The signal recognition particle (SRP) is a universally conserved ribonucleoprotein. It is involved in the co-translational targeting of proteins to membranes. The eukaryotic SRP consists of a 300-nucleotide 7S RNA and six proteins: SRPs 72, 68, 54, 19, 14, and 9. Lineage: Eukaryota; Metazoa; Chordata; Mammalia; Artiodactyla; Cervidae. The record is from Rfam by way of RNAcentral.